UCAUUUGCCCUCUAAUUAGGGGCUGGAAUGAAGGGUUGGACGANAAACUAGCUGUCUCUUUUAAUUACUUGAAUUUAAUAAUUUGGUGAAAAAGCUAAAAUGUUCUUGGAGGACGAUAANACCCUAUAGAUCUUUAUAGAUCUGGUUGNGAUUCUUUGGUUGUUANUGAAUUACAAUGAAGUUUAUUUUGUUGGGGCGACAUUGAGUGAAGAAUAAUCUCUCAUAAUGUUCUUACAAUUAUAGUUGAUAUAUGAUCCUUUAAUGAAUUUGGAUAAAGUUACCUUANGGAUAACAGCGUAAUUUCUUUUGANAGUUCUAAUCGACAAAGAAGUUUGCGACCUCGAUGUUGGUUCAGGAUUCCUUUUAGGCGCAGUAGCUUGAAAAGGUAGUCUGUUCGACUAUUAAAUUCCUACGUGAUCUGA
This 422-nucleotide ribosomal RNA is filed under the name Streptocephalus torvicornis. Its description in RNAcentral is "partial large subunit ribosomal RNA". It matches the Rfam family "Bacterial large subunit ribosomal RNA", at positions 1965 to 2608 of the family's 2925-position model. Lineage: Eukaryota; Metazoa; Arthropoda; Branchiopoda; Anostraca; Streptocephalidae. The record is from RNAcentral.